Molecule: long non-coding RNA, 579 nt
Organism: Dalotia coriaria
Lineage: Eukaryota; Metazoa; Arthropoda; Insecta; Coleoptera; Staphylinidae
Exons: 2
Source: RefSeq, a predicted model, not a curated record
AUUACGAUACGCAAUGAGAAAAAGUUGAGCGUGCGGCGCUAAAAAACUGAAACAAAACCAACUAAAAUAAACAAUGAGAUAAGCGGAUCUGUAUGAUUUCAUUCUUUAUUCAUAUCAACGAAGGCGGCAUGUGCAAAUUUCAGUGAAUUUAGUCACAUACACAAUGAAGAAACGCUUUGCGUUAUGAGGCGGUAACACUCGUUCGGUUCCCACACACCGCCGGAGCGCAGAGGAGACGCAAACUGUUUGCCGAAGGAGGCAGCCGCCACACGGCAGCCAUGGCAACGCAGCAGCCAACAACUCGAAUUCAAUUGUCUGUGCGCUCGCCGUCGCUGUGCGCUGCGAAUCGAAUCGAAAUUCGGUGCACACAACGCAGCACACGCAAACACAAACACCGAGUCAAUAGUGUGUGCGAGAGUUAGACAAUGUCGGCCAUUUUGUAGUAAGUGAGGAUUUCCUUCGCGAGCGGACGAAGUGAAAAGAAAACAAUUUUCAUCCAAACUAACAAACAUUACCGCUAGCGAAAGCCGUUUUCGACGAUUGUGUGCGCUAGCGUUGAAAUAAAAGAAUAGAAAAGAA